This 254-nucleotide ribosomal RNA is filed under the name uncultured bacterium. RNAcentral describes it as "partial 16S ribosomal RNA". It matches the Rfam family "Bacterial small subunit ribosomal RNA", at positions 524 to 776 of the family's 1533-position model. The record is from RNAcentral.
GACGAACCGUGCUAACGUUAUUCGGAAUCACUGGGCUUAAAGCGCGUGUAGGCGGGUCAGCACGUCGGGCGCUGAAAUCCCCCGGCUCAACCGGGGAACGGGCACCGAUACGACUGGCCUGGAGGGGAGUAGGGGGACCUGGAACUUCCGGUGGAGCGGUGAAAUGCGUUGAGAUCGGAAGGAACGCCCGUGGCGAAAGCGAGGUCCUGGGCUCUUACUGACGCUGAGACGCGAAAGCCAGGGGAGCGAACGGG